GCUUUCUCCCAGCUGAUGACUGGGGGUUAGCCGACGCCCUGUGAGUUCCCGCUCACGGGGCGUUCAACUUUUUCAGGU
Molecule: antisense RNA, 78 nt
Filed under: Corynebacterium glutamicum
Lineage: Bacteria; Bacillati; Actinomycetota; Actinomycetes; Mycobacteriales; Corynebacteriaceae
Description: ctRNA
Rfam family: ctRNA
About the family: Rolling circle replication plasmids contain a number of mechanisms to maintain a low copy number.
Source: Rfam by way of RNAcentral